GACGAACGCUGGCGGCGUGCUUAACACAUGCAAGUCGAACGGAAAGGCCCUGCUCUUGUGGGGUGCUCGAGUGGCGAACGGGUGAGUAACACGUGAGUAACCUGCCCUUGACUUUGGGAUAACUUCAGGAAACUGGGGCUAAUACCGGAUAGGAGCUCUUGCUGCAUGGUGGGGGUUGGAAAGUUUCGGCGGUUGGGGAUGGACUCGCGGCUUAUCAGCUUGUUGGUGGGGUAGGGGCUUACCAAGGCUUUGACGGGUAGCCGGCCUGAGAGGGUGACCGGCCACAUGGGGCCUGCGAUACGGCCCAGUAUCCUACGGGAGGCAGCAGUGGGGAAUAUUGCACAAUGGGCGGACGCCUGAGGCAGCAGCGCCGCGUGCGGGAUGCCGUCCUUCGGGUUAUAAACCGCUUUCGCCUGUGACGAAGCGUGAUUGACGGUAAUGGGUAAAGAAGCACCGGCUAACUACGUG
RNAcentral lists this ribosomal RNA (468 nucleotides) under uncultured bacterium. Its description in RNAcentral is "partial 16S ribosomal RNA". It matches the Rfam family "Bacterial small subunit ribosomal RNA", at positions 28 to 507 of the family's 1533-position model. The record is from RNAcentral.